Molecule: ribosomal RNA, 254 nt
Filed under: uncultured bacterium
Lineage: Bacteria
Description: partial 16S ribosomal RNA
Rfam family: Bacterial small subunit ribosomal RNA
Source: RNAcentral
UACAGAGGGUGCAAGCGUUAAUCGGAAUUACUGGGCGUAAAGCGCGCGUAGGCGGCUGUCUAAGUCGGAUGUGAAAUCCCCGGGCUUAACCUGGGAACUGCAUUCGAUACUGGGCGGCUAGAGUAUGAGAGAGGGAGGUAGAAUUCCACGUGUAGCGGUGAAAUGCGUAGAUAUGUGGAGGAAUACCGGUGGCGAAGGCGGCCUGCUGGGCUAUGGCUGACACUGAGGCGCGACAGCGUGGGGGAGCAAACAGG